Molecule: ribosomal RNA, 1830 nt
Filed under: Galdieria sulphuraria
Lineage: Eukaryota; Rhodophyta; Bangiophyceae; Galdieriales; Galdieriaceae
Description: SSU rRNA
Rfam family: Eukaryotic small subunit ribosomal RNA
Source: RNAcentral
ACCCCGUUGAUCCUGCGGGUCGCGUAUGCUUGUCUCAAGGAUUAAGCCAUGCAAAUGCCAGUAUAAGCCACAUGGAUGGCGAGACUGUGAAUGGCUCAUUAAAACAGUUAUAAUCUACACAAUGUUAGUUUGUUAUAUGGAUAACCCUAGUAAUGCUAGAGCUAAUACAUGCCCUAUUUCCAUUUUUGGGAAAUUGCACUUAUUAGUGAUCCUACUUUACACUUUUCCUGUCACAGGGUUUAGUGUUGAAUGUUGAAUCAUGAUAAUUUUGUGGAUUGAUAGUAUUUGUACUAUUGACGCAUUGUUUGAAUAUCUGCCCUAUCAACUUUUGACGGUAGGAUUGAGGCCUACCGUGGUGUUGACGGGUAACGGGGAAUUAGGGUUCGAUUCCGGAGAGGGAGCCUGAGAGAUGGCUACCACAUCCAAGGAUGGCAGCAGGCGCGCAAAUUACCCAAUCCUGACACAGGGAGGUAGCGACAAGAAAUACUGAUAGAUAACACUAAGUGUUAUUUUAUUGGCAUGACGUUUAUGUAAACGCGUAACGAAGUAACGAUUGGAGGGCAAGUCUGGUGCCAGCAGCCGCGGUAAUUCCAGCUCCAAUAGCGUACACGAACGUUGUUGCAGUUAAAACGCCCGUAGUCUGAACUGUGAGAUGUUUUUCAUUUUACUCUUUUUUUUGAAAGAGUAUGAAUGGACGACACUCAUUUUGAAAUGAAUGUUUGAAUUGAUCUUGAUUGAUUGAUUUUUGACAUUGAUUUUGAUUUACUGUGAAAAAAUUAGAGUGUUUCAAGCGCUUCUUGUGAAAGUAUAGCUUAGCAUGGUAUAAUAGUAUUUAUGUAUUGAUAAGACUUUAGUAGGAAGUUUUAUUGAUUGAAAAUGCAUCAAUAGGGGUAGUUGGGGCCAUUUGUAUUCCCUAGUCAGAGGUGAAAUUCUUGGAUUUUUGGAAGACGAACAGUUGCGAAAGCGUUUGGCAAGGAUAUUCCCAUUGAUCAAGGACGAAAGUUAGGGGAUCGAAGACGAUUAGAUACCGUCGUAGUCUUAACCAUAAACGUUGCCAUCUUAAAGAUGGUGUAUUGACAAGUCAAUCGUACAUCCUUUUUUAUUCGGGAAACCAAAGAAUUUGGGUUCUGGGGGGGGAGUAUGGUCGCAAGUCUGAAACUUAAAGGAAUUGACGGAAGGGCACCACCAGGAGUGGAGCCUGCGGCUUAAUUUGACUCAACACGGGGCAACUUACCAGGUCCGGACAUGAUCAUGAUUGACAGAUUGAUAGCUCUUUCUUGAUUUUAUGGGUGGUGGUGCAUGGCCGUUCUUAGUUGGUGGAGUGAUUUGUCUGGUUAAUUCCGUUAACGAACGAGACCUUUUCCUGCUAACUAGUUAUAUUGUAUGUGAAGAUAUACGAUAUAUACUUCUUAGAGGUACUAUUCGUUUUUCACGGAUGGAAGUUUUAGGCAAUAACAGGUCUGUGAUGCCCUUUGAUGUCCUGGGCUGCACGCGGGCUACACUGAUGCGAUCAAAUAGUUGUAAGAGACCAUUUCUGAGAAGAGUAUGGCAAACUCUGAAAUUGCAUCGUGCUUGGGAUUGAAUACUGUAACUGUAUUUAUGAACGAGGAAUUCCUUUGUAAACGCGAGUCAUCAACUUGCGUUGAAUACGUCCCUGCCCUUUGUACACACCGCCCGUCGCUCCUACCGAUUGAACGAUCCGGUGAAGCGUACGGCUUGUUUUAUUUUUUGAUUUGAAAGGGUAAGAUGAAAAGUACGUUGAACCUUAUUGUUUAGAGGAAGGAGAAGUCGUAACAAGGUUUCCGUAGGUGAACCUGCGGAAGGAUCAUU